AACCACACUAUCAAUGAAUGGAUUUCACCCGCGAGAUGACGUGGUUGUUUCAUAUAGGACGAGGACGUGUCAUCCUAAUUAUCAGCCAUCGCACGAAAUUAAUAGGAUAUGCCACGUCAUUAUCCUAGAUGGAACAGCCACAUCAUCACACGGGUGAAUUCAUUCAUCGAUAGUGUGGUU
Non-coding RNA from Oryza glumipatula, 180 nucleotides. The record is from Rfam. Lineage: Eukaryota; Viridiplantae; Streptophyta; Magnoliopsida; Poales; Poaceae.